AUUGAACGCUGGCGGCAGGCCUAACACAUGCAAGUCGAGCGAGCGGCGGACGGGUGAGUAAUGUCUGGGAAACUGCCUGAUGGGGGGGGAUAACUACUGGAAAAGGGAGAGAAUACCGCAUACCAUCAGAGGUGCCCAGAGGGGGUUAGCUAGUAGGUGGGGUAACGGCUCACCUAGGCGACGAUCCCUAGCUGGUCUGAGAGGAUGACCAGCCACCCUGUAACUGAGACACGUGCCAGACUCCGACGGGAGGCAGCAGUGGGGAAUAUUGCACAAUGGGCUCAAGCCUGAUGCAGCCAUGCCGCGUGUAUGAAGAAGGCCUUCGGGUUGUAAAGCACUUUCAGCGGGGAGGCGUUACCCGCAGAAGAAGCACCGGCUAACUCCGUGCCAGCCGCCGCGGUAAUAC
RNAcentral lists this ribosomal RNA (406 nucleotides) under uncultured bacterium. RNAcentral describes it as "partial 16S ribosomal RNA". It matches the Rfam family "Bacterial small subunit ribosomal RNA", at positions 29 to 526 of the family's 1533-position model. The record is from RNAcentral.